This 161-nucleotide ribosomal RNA is filed under the name Amanita drummondii. Its description in RNAcentral is "5.8S ribosomal RNA". It matches the Rfam family "5.8S ribosomal RNA". Rfam says of the family: 5.8S ribosomal RNA (5.8S rRNA) is a component of the large subunit of the eukaryotic ribosome. It is transcribed by RNA polymerase I as part of the 45S precursor that also contains 18S and 28S rRNA. Lineage: Eukaryota; Fungi; Basidiomycota; Agaricomycetes; Agaricales; Amanitaceae. The record is from RNAcentral.
ACAACUUUCAACAAUGGAUCUCUUGGCUCUCGCGUCGAUGAAGAACACAGCGAAAUGUGAUAAGUAAUGUGAAUUGCAGAAUCCAGUGAAUCAUCGAAUCUUUGAACGCAUCUUGCGCUCCUUGGUAUUCCGAGGAGCAUGCCUGUUUGAGUGUCAUUAAA